Molecule: non-coding RNA, 73 nt
Organism: Henosepilachna vigintioctopunctata
Lineage: Eukaryota; Metazoa; Arthropoda; Insecta; Coleoptera; Coccinellidae
Source: the annotation of a GenBank genome assembly
GUCUCUGUAGAUUAGUCGGAAGAACACCUGACUAUGGUGCGGAAGAACACGGGUUCGAGUCCCGCUGAAGGCA